Gadus morhua (Atlantic cod) is the source of this 3217-nucleotide long non-coding RNA. The record is from Ensembl. NCBI's taxonomy places the organism in Eukaryota, Metazoa, Chordata, Actinopteri, Gadiformes, Gadidae.
CAGAUGAACAAAUGGUGUGAGAGAGCAAUCCUCACUCGUCUGGAGACGAUGAAACUAUUGAGAAGCAUAGCUGGUCAAUUAUUUAUUGUCUUCUUUAUCCGUGAGUAGGCCUCAUACGUUUUAUUCAUACUCUGUGUUAGGCCUUCAACAUGUAUGAUUAUUAUGUUUAUUUGAUACAGUUACUAAAAUACUUUUCUAUUCCAUACUUACUCAUACACAUAAUCAUGCUUUAUUGACGCUUCCCUUGGUCAUUACAUUGUUUUCCAUCCACAGAUUCCUUUCAUAAUGUCAAAAUCCAAGGUAAUUAUAUUGGUUCAACAGUCAUGUGUUUACGAUAAACCUCAAUAGCGUUUCAUCUCUAAUGUUGAACUAGACACAUCCACUUUGAGAUGUGUUAAAAGGUUGAUUAUCUUUUUUUAUUGCCAUCAAUGACUGCUGGCUCAUUCUAUUAUUGUGCGAAUGUGAAUACACUUCAAACUUGGGGGGCUGUUUUUUAACUAACAAUUAUCUUUCCAAUGUCAGCCCUUCCUCAGUCUGUAUUGACGGCGAGCGCGUCAACCAUCAGAGAGGAAGAGUCUGUUACACUUCAGUGUUCGGCAAAGGCAGGGGAUCCUCCUAAAAAAUGUUGGAUUUACCUGAUUAGUCCAAACGGCGAAAAGAACCUUGCCUUCGAAUGCCAGGCGACAUUUACAGGCUCUGUGCUCCUGGCAGAGAACUUGGCUCUCGCUGAUGUGAAGGUUCGGUGUUAUUACACCAACGAUCGGGAUGAGCCUGCUCCACACAGCGACAUCGUGUCUAUCACUGUAGCAAGAGCCCUUCCUCAGUCUGUAUUAACGGCGAGCGCGUCAUCCAUCAGAGAGGAAGAGUCGGUAACACUUCAGUGUUCGGCAAAGGCAGGGCACCCUCCUAGAAAAUGUUUGAUUUUCCUGAUAAGUCCCACUCAGAGCCAAAAAAACAUCGCCUUCAAAUGCCAGGAGACAUUUACAGGCUCUGACCUCCUGAGAGAGAACUGGUCUCUCGCUGAGGUGAAGGUUGGGUGUUUUUACACCAACGAUCGGUGUCGGCUGGUCGUUUUUAAAGUGAGGGAGGAAGGACCGCGCGCUUGGUUGCCAUUGGCCUGCUUGCACUGUUGGUGUAUGGUGGCAUAAGAAUGUGAGAAGUUGUUUCAGGGUGUUUUGGUGAACUACAAAAUAGUAGGGAGGGAUUAGUUAUGUGAAUAAAUUUGAUACAAAGCCACCAGUGGCAUCACUGUAUUUUGAAAGCUGGUGGGCAGCAUGUCUUUGAAAUAGACUACAAGGGCAGAAGGAAGGAUGCAAAGCCCAUUAGUCAAAUCAGGCCUACUCUUGAUUUGUAAAAGUAAAUCUGGGCCUAUUUUUGCCCUCAAUGAAUGAAGUUAUUGGUUGUAAUUUAGCUAUGUUUAUUUUCAGGUACAAUUGUUUUAAGAAAAGACUGACCAAAAGUCACCCUUUCCACACCAUUUCCACAGUAUCAAACAGAACGGUCAGAGUAGCAAACUAGCAAAAGAACGAGAACAUUAUUCUAGAUUCAACCUGAUCUAUAGGCAUGGUGCCUAGCAAGGAAAGUCGCAUAGCAUCACCAACAUGAACAUGACACUAGUCGUGGCGUUUGGUUGCCCUAUCAAGAUUUUUCACAUCAGGGAAACCAUAAACAGCCCACGUUGGAGAUUUGCCAUUAUUCAUUAGCAAACAGGGCCAGCAAUACAGUCGACUGCUAGUAAUGCUACCAGUAAGCCAUGAAUACCUCGAGGCUACUGUUUGUUUGUUUUUAUCCCCGCGUCACCCGGAAGUGAUGAUUAUGUCGACCAAUCAACGGAGGGGGUGUGUAGCUAGAAUUUCCCGGGACCCUUUCAGGCGUCUCGUCUCGUUUUCGGUACCCCAACGGAGGAGUCCCGAGAACGAGGCCGGAACGGGUACGGCAAAGUCCGGGUCGCGCCCACUUUUGGCGGUGGAAACGCGACCCGAUCCGCACCUUUGCGAUCCGAUCCGUUCCGAACCCUGCAGUGGAAACGCGCCAUUAUGCCGCGUUUCCACUGCAGGGUGCGGAACGGAUCGGAUCGCAAAGGUGCGGUAGGGAGGGGGCGGUAUAGCCCAGCUCAGUUCCGAGGUCGCGUUUCCACUGCCGACAGUACCCUUGGUGGUAGGCCGGAUGUCGAUCGCCACGGCAGCUACGUAAACAUCGUAAACAACGUCUUCCUCCCCAAGAAUGCAGACGAACGUCUCCACCUCCUUGUUCGCCCAAGCAAGCUUUUUACGCGACAUGUUAAUUGUAAAGAAUAAUACCUCGAGGCUACUGUUUGUUUGUUUUUAUCCCCGCGUCACCCGGAAGUGACGAUUCUGUCGACCAAUCAACGGAGGGGGGGUGUUGCUAGAAUUUCACGGGACCCUUUCAGGCAUCUGGUCUCGUUUUGGGUACCGCAACGGAGGAGUCCCGAGAAUGGGGCCGGAACGGGUACGGCAAAGUCCGGGUCACGCCCACUUUUGGCGGUGGAAACGCGACCUGACCCGCACCUUUGCGAUCCGAUACGUUCCGCACCCUGCAGUGGAAACGCGCUAUUAGACUGAGCGGCAAUGAGGUCAGAGCGGGUUUGUUUGUUAUCGACAGCGUUGCCAGAUUGGGUAAAUUUCCCGCCAAAUGAUAAUUUUCCCAGCCUAAAGCGGUUAAAAGUAGCCCAAUUGGGUGGGAAAUCUGACCAAUCUGGUAACACUGCUCACCAGCCAGGGAUCCUGCUGAUUGGUUCAUAGCGCAGCGCGACUAGAUUUUUGCGCGAAUCAGACGCCUGUAAGGUCCCACCCAAUCAGAGGAGGACUUUCCUCCUCUCUCCCAUUGAAACCCAUGUUAUUCACCGGCCGCCAGUACUUUCUGAGAAAUGAAUGGGAGUCAACGGAGGCUGAGGGAGGACCUUCCUCCCUGAAGUUAUUGUCAAAAGGCGAAAGGGGGUGCUAAUGUCCCUUUACCCAGGGAAACGAACAUUAUAUUCAAAGGCAUUAAAGUAGUCAUAUUUAAGGGCAUUAAUUCAUAACAGUAGUCUGGGCAAUCUACAUUUUUUAUUCUCAACAAUGUUAAGGAGGAUCUUCCUCCCUCUCCUCAAUGGAGAAACCUCCACUGAGAUAUAUAUAUAUAUAUAUAUAUAUAUAUAUAUAUAUAUAUAUAUAUAUAUAUAUAUAUAUAUAUAUAUAUAUAUAUAUAUAUAUUUGCU